This 331-nucleotide unclassified non-coding RNA is filed under the name soil metagenome. RNAcentral's name for it is "partial contains 5.8S ribosomal RNA, internal transcribed spacer 2, and large subunit ribosomal RNA". The stretch from base 1 to 120 matches the Rfam family "5.8S ribosomal RNA", at positions 35 to 154 of the family's 154-position model. The record is from RNAcentral.
GAUGAAGAACGUAGCGAAAUGCGAUAAGUAAUGUGAAUUGCAGAAUUCAGUGAAUCAUCGAAUCGUUGAACGCACAUUGCGCCCCCUGGUAUUCCGGGGGGCAUGCCUGUUCGAGCGUCAUUUCACCACUCAAGCCUCGCUUGGUAUUGGGCAACGCGGUCCGCCGCGUGCCUCAAAUCGACCGGCUGGGUCUUCUGUCCCCUAAGCGUUGUGGAAACUAUUCGCUAAAGGGUGUUCGGGAGGCUACGCCGUAAAACAACCCCAUUUCUAAGGUUGACCUCGGAUCAGGUAGGGAUACCCGCUGAACUUAAGCAUAUCAAUAAGCGGAGGA